CGUGGGGUGGGACGUAUCUCUGAACCAGGAGGAUGGCGUGCUGCUGUCAAGGCCGGGUCUCUGGCGGUAGUGCUGGCGGUAGCUCUGGCUCUGCUUAAACUCCAAAGGUUUCCCACUGUCCUCAGGAAAAAGUGCAGACUCCUUAGCAGUAGCCACCUCUCCAGCUUCUUUGCUUUGCUUCCCAAUUCGCUGGGUCUCCCGAAAAAUGACCCACUUGCCCCCAAGGGUCAGGUUAUUUCACACAUUUGGGCCUCUGCUUUUGCGACUCCCUUGCAGUGAACAGCCUUGCCACACACCUCAGGUGGACUGGCAGAGGAGGUGGACGACAAAGUUCUUCAUGCUGCAUUUAUUCCUUUUGGAGACAUCACAGAUAUUCAGAUUCCUCUGGAUUAUGAAACAGAAAAGCACCGAGGAUUUGCUUUUGUUGAAUUUGAGUUGGCAGAGGACGCUGCAGCAGCUAUCGAUAACAUGGUAUGGCUGGGAAUCUUAAUUCUAACUAAAGUUGCUUUUUGGUGGUACAGAGGGUCCUUAUUCAUAUAUCAGUGUUCUGGACUUCCAAAGUUACAAGGUUGCAUGGGGAGAAUGAAUCUGAGCUUUUUGGACGUACAAUUCGUGUCAAUUUGGCCAAACCAAUGAGAAUUAAGGAAGGCUCUUCCAGGCCAGUUUGGUCAGAUGAUGACUGGUUGAAGAAGUUUUCUGGGAAGACGCUUGAAGAGAAUAAAGAGGAAGAAGGGUCAGAGCCUCCCAAAGCAGAGACCCAGGAGGGAGAGCCCGCUGCUAAAAAGGCCCGGUCAAAUCCUCAGGUGUACAUGGACAUCAAGAUUGGGAACAAGCCGGCCGGCCGCAUCCAGAUGCUCCUGCGUUCCGAUGUCGUGCCCAUGACCGCAG
This 888-nucleotide small RNA is filed under the name Pongo abelii (Sumatran orangutan). RNAcentral's name for it is "processed transcript". The record is from RNAcentral. Lineage: Eukaryota; Metazoa; Chordata; Mammalia; Primates; Hominidae.